Molecule: transfer RNA, 78 nt
Filed under: Candidatus Saelkia tenebricola
Lineage: Bacteria; Pseudomonadati; Candidatus Omnitrophota
Description: tRNA-Asp
Rfam family: tRNA
About the family: Transfer RNA (tRNA) molecules are approximately 80 nucleotides in length.
Source: RNAcentral
GGGGACGUCGUCUAGCCUGGAUAAGACCCUGGACUGUCGAUCCAGUGAUCGCGGGUUCAACUCCCGUCGUCCCCGCCA